GCUGGGCAUGGUGGCGCAUGCCUGUAAUCCCAGCUACUCGGGAGGCUGAGGCAGAAGAAUCGCUUGAAACCGGGAGGCAGAGGUUGCAGUGAGCCAAGAUCGUGCCACUGCACUCCAGCCUCGGCAACAGAGCGAGACUCUGUCUCAA
Molecule: small RNA, 148 nt
Filed under: Papio anubis (olive baboon)
Lineage: Eukaryota; Metazoa; Chordata; Mammalia; Primates; Cercopithecidae
Description: Metazoan signal recognition particle RNA (ENSPANG00000045637.1)
Source: Rfam by way of RNAcentral